GGUGAACGCUGGCGGCGUGCCUAAGACAUGCAAGUCGAGCGGGCCGCGGGGUUUUACUCCGUGGUCAGCGGCGGACGGGUGAGUAACGCGUGGGUGACCUACCCGGAAGAGGGGGACAACCCGGGGAAACUCGGGCUAAUCCCCCAUGUGGACCCGCCCCUUGGGGUGUGUCCAAAGGGCUUUGCCCGCUUCCGGAUGGGCCCGCGUCCCAUCAGCUAGUUGGUGGGGUAAUGGCCCACCAAGGCGACGACGGGUAGCCGGCCUGAGAGGGUGGCCGGCCACAGGGGCACUGAGACACGGGCCUCACGCCUACGGGAGGCAGCAGUUAGGAAUCUUCCGAAAUGGGCGCAAGCCUGACGGAGCGACGCCGCUGGGAGGAAGAAGCCCUUCGGGGUGUAAACUCCUGAACCCGGGACGAAACCCCCGACGAGGGGACUGACGGUACCGGGGUAAUAGCGCCGGCCAACUCCGUG
Molecule: ribosomal RNA, 473 nt
Filed under: uncultured bacterium
Lineage: Bacteria
Description: partial 16S ribosomal RNA
Rfam family: Bacterial small subunit ribosomal RNA
Source: RNAcentral